UUUAUGGAGAGUUUGAUCCUGGCUCAGGAUGAACGCUGGCGGCGUGCCUAAUACAUGCAAGUCGAGCGAACGGACGAGAAGCUUGCUUCUCUGAUGUUAGCGGCGGACGGGUGAGUAACACGUGGAUAACCUACCUAUAAGACUGGGAUAACUUCGGGAAACCGGAGCUAAUACCGGAUAAUAUUUUGAACCGCAUGGUUCAAAAGUGAAAGACGGUCUUGCUGUCACUUAUAGAUGGAUCCGCGCUGCAUUAGCUAGUUGGUAAGGUAACGGCUUACCAAGGCAACGAUGCAUAGCCGACCUGAGAGGGUGAUCGGCCACACUGGAACUGAGACACGGUCCAGACUCCUACGGGAGGCAGCAGUAGGGAAUCUUCCGCAAUGGGCGAAAGCCUGACGGAGCAACGCCGCGUGAGUGAUGAAGGUCUUCGGAUCGUAAAACUCUGUUAUUAGGGAAGAACAUAUGUGUAAGUAACUGUGCACAUCUUGACGGUACCUAAUCAGAAAGCCACGGCUAACUACGUGCCAGCAGCCGCGGUAAUACGUAGGUGGCAAGCGUUAUCCGGAAUUAUUGGGCGUAAAGCGCGCGUAGGCGGUUUUUUAAGUCUGAUGUGAAAGCCCACGGCUCAACCGUGGAGGGUCAUUGGAAACUGGAAAACUUGAGUGCAGAAGAGGAAAGUGGAAUUCCAUGUGUAGCGGUGAAAUGCGCAGAGAUAUGGAGGAACACCAGUGGCGAAGGCGACUUUCUGGUCUGUAACUGACGCUGAUGUGCGAAAGCGUGGGGAUCAAACAGGAUUAGAUACCCUGGUAGUCCACGCCGUAAACGAUGAGUGCUAAGUGUUAGGGGGUUUCCGCCCUUAGUGCUGCAGCUAACGCAUUAAGCACUCCGCCUGGGGAGUACGACCGCAAGGUUGAAACUCAAAGGAAUUGACGGGGACCCGCACAAGCGGUGGAGCAUGUGGUUUAAUUCGAAGCAACGCGAAGAACCUUACCAAAUCUUGACAUCCUUUGACAACUCUAGAGAUAGAGCCUUCCUCUUCGGGGACAAAGUGACAGGUGGUGCAUGGUUGUCGUCAGCUCGUGUCGUGAGAUGUUGGGUUAAGUCCCGCAACGAGCGCAACCCUUAAGCUUAGUUGCCAUCAUUAAGUUGGGCACUCUAAGUUGACUGCCGGUGACAAACCGGAGGAAGGUGGGGAUGACGUCAAAUCAUCAUGCCCCUUAUGAUUUGGGCUACACACGUGCUACAAUGGACAAUACAAAGGGCAGCGAAACCGCGAGGUCAAGCAAAUCCCAUAAAGUUGUUCUCAGUUCGGAUUGUAGUCUGCAACUCGACUACAUGAAGCUGGAAUCGCUAGUAAUCGUAGAUCAGCAUGCUACGGUGAAUACGUUCCCGGGUCUUGUACACACCGCCCGUCACACCACGAGAGUUUGUAACACCCGAAGCCGGUGGAGUAACCUUUUAGGAGCUAGCCGUCGAAGGUGGGACAAAUGAUUGGGGUGAAGUCGUAACAAGGUAGCCGUAUCGGAAGGUGCGGCUGGAUCACCUCCUUUCU
This 1552-nucleotide ribosomal RNA is filed under the name Staphylococcus aureus. RNAcentral describes it as "16S ribosomal RNA". It matches the Rfam family "Bacterial small subunit ribosomal RNA". The record is from RNAcentral. Lineage: Bacteria; Bacillati; Bacillota; Bacilli; Caryophanales; Staphylococcaceae.